AAUCAUGUUCGGGUAAUCGCUGCGAUGCGUAUGCAUCGUAGAGGAAAGUCCAUGCUCGCACGGUGCUGAGAUGCCCGUAGUGUUCGUGCCUAGCGAAUCCAUAAGCUAGGGCAGUCUGGCAAUAAGCUGGGCUGACGGCAGGGAAAGAGCCUACGUCCGCAACGGAUAUGGCUCGAUUACCUUUAAAGUGCCACAGUGACGUAGUCUUGCUGGAAACGGCAAGAGUGGAACGCGGUAAACCCCACGAGUGAGAAACCCAAAUAAUGGUAGGGGCACCUUCUCGAAGGAAAUGAACGGAGAGAAGGACAGGCAUAAGCCUGUAGAUAGAUGAUUACCGCCGAAGUACGAGGCGCAAGCCGUUUGCAGUACGACGGAACAGAACAUGGCUUACAGAACAUGGUUCAUG
This 406-nucleotide RNase P RNA is filed under the name Anoxybacillus gonensis. RNAcentral describes it as "bacterial RNase P". It matches the Rfam family "Bacterial RNase P class B". From Rfam's summary of the family: Ribonuclease P (RNase P) is a ubiquitous endoribonuclease, found in archaea, bacteria and eukarya as well as chloroplasts and mitochondria. Its best characterised activity is the generation of mature 5'-ends of tRNAs by cleaving the 5'-leader elements of precursor-tRNAs. Cellular RNase Ps are ribonucleoproteins. The record is from RNAcentral. Lineage: Bacteria; Bacillati; Bacillota; Bacilli; Caryophanales; Anoxybacillaceae.